Molecule: long non-coding RNA, 3648 nt
Filed under: Sorghum bicolor (sorghum)
Lineage: Eukaryota; Viridiplantae; Streptophyta; Magnoliopsida; Poales; Poaceae
Description: long non-coding RNA (SBIC_LNC011961)
Source: RNAcentral
ACUGUCACUAUUAUAAGCUUCUCCUUGAUUCUAGCAUGCACAUGGAUAAAAAGACAAACAUGUAUGAUUUAUAACUCCAAAUUAACCAACCCAAUUGUUUCAACAUGUUUAGUCCUUUAAUCUUUGUUCCCGGUACUACCUUCUUGAUCCCACACUCUUAACCAUAUGAGCUAAAAUGUUGCACAUCCGAUCUUUGGAAAAUGAUAGUCAUGUAAAAAAAUAUUUACUUAGAUAGAUUAUCUUUCCAUAAGGUUGAGUGAUCUGAUCUGACAAAUGUUUUAAAUGCUACACUCAUGAUCUUAUCAUCCAUCAACUUUGUCUUGCUCACUAUGCUUAAGGUUAGAGAAGAACAAAUACACUUUUGGUUCUGUUGGUGUUUUCCACCAACAGGGCCCAUGCACUUGAUCUUUGCCUUGUCUCUAUGAGCAGGAUACACUUCGAGCAAAACAUGGAGGAGUUUUACAACUUCCAGACUCUACCAAGUGAAGGACCUGGAUCUACGAGCACAAACACACUGAGGAGGAUGCUGCCAACGCCGCACUUCGAACUGCUGGGCAAACGAAAAACAUGGGUGACACCGUAUCAAGAGGUGCAGAUGUCAAGGUCCACACCUAACUCAAAUGACGCACCUAAAGAAUAAACAUGGUGAGAAGUCUUGUUCAGAAGACUUAAAAUAUUGAACCCUCGCCGAAAGGCAAAAUCAGUAGUUAUCCAUAUUUAUCCUUUCUGCGUUCCUUUUUGUCUUAAAUUAUUUACUUUCCUUAAAUAGCUUGUUAGUUAAUCAUGCUAUCUUGAAAAGAAAAUAAAAAUGUUAAAAACAGUAAGCCCCAUGUGAGUAUGCUCGUGGCAUAAAACUCAUUCACUGUGGUGGCGUCAAAAAUAAAAUAAAUAUAUUCUUGUCCUGUAAAAAUAAAAAUAUAAAAAUAAAUUUAUGAUCCUACUAAAGAGAGUAAUAUUUAUUAGAGGAAGCUCAACAUGAUAAAGGCUAAGAGAUUUUAUCCUAACACUUAACCAGUUCCACAAAGCUUUGUUGUCUAUUUGAGCUCCACAGAAUUCAAGGAUCAAGAAAGACUGGUAGACGGAGGAUAUCCUAAUCACUAUCAAGGUGCUGCCAACAUUCAAAUACACCUACGCCACCUACUAGCUACAUCAGAAGAAAUUACAUUAAAAUCCAGCUUGGGGAGAGCACCCCUAUUUAUCCAGCUAAGUGUUUCUGCUCACAUUUAUAUUUUACUAAAAAAAAUGCAUAAUCAUAAAAACCCAAUUAAACAUUUUGUGCUUAUAUAUAUCUUUGCUUAGUUUGCUAAAUAAAUAAAUAAAGUAUCUAUGCCAAACUGAACUUCAAUGUUAAACUCUUACAUGGAUAUGAUGAAUAGUUACUCUGCCAAGUACCUAGUUUUCAAAUUUGAGCUCUCUCUCAAGUUUAGGCAUGACUGUUAUUAAUUAAGAUUUGCUCUAAACCUAAACUUGUGGGAAGAGUACCUGAUAUAAAGUCUAAGUCGUUAACGGAUACGAUAUGGAAAGGUUGAGCUGCUGUUUAUCUGUUCCUAGAGAUGCUAGAAUUUUGGAGAAUUUUAUUUUUGAAAAUCUUUAAAAUAUUACAUGAUGAGUUCCUAUAUGAUGAGAGUUUAAAAUCCUACCACAACCAUAUAUACAAGCUUAUUAGACUAUGAACCAUACAUUUACUUUUUACUGCUUAUGAGCAUUGAGUGUGGUCAAAGCUGUGUAGACCCUUAGGAGCUUGUCAUGCGGUUAAAAUCAAGAUUCACUUGCACGUUCACUCAUACAUGCUGCUUCUACUCCAGAAGUAUGCAUCCACAUACAUCCACUCAUUUCCAUAUCCAGAUUCACCCAAAAUUAUUCAACUCCUAACUAGGAGAGAAUAGCCAAAAGCAUUAUCCUAUCCCUGUUAUUCCCCGUGAAAUAAAUGCUCGAGAUAUUUUGGUUACUACCACUUGCUACAUUAUUCCAGGAGGGUGAGUGCUCUGAAAAAAAGUGAGUACGAGAAAAUAAAAAGGGGCAAGUGCCCGAAACCUCUAAAAAAAGAAGAAAAAAAGUGAGACGAGAGGUAAAAAUGGACAAGUGUCCGACAGUAGAAUUAGGGGUACAAGAUACCCACCUGAGAGAAAAGAAAAAUAAAAUAUAGAGCAUCUCAUUCCCCUCAAAAGCCUCAAGUGCAAGAAAGGUAUGUACCCCCUCAAAAGAGCAAAAGUAGAAUUAGACUUUCAUCAUUAUUUUCACCAUUAUCACCAUUCAUUCUCCACACAUGCACAUCUUGAUUUGACUUAUUGACUUGUUCUUCUGAAUCCAUGGUUUGACUAUGCAAUAAGUGUCUUGUAAGUAUGUAUUAGCUGUCUCCCACCUAUGAGCUCCAGAUAUCAAAACCUUAUUAGAGUAGGGUGAGAGAGAAGGCAAUAUCACUAUGCCUCAUACCAAAAAUACCACAUACUUUGAGAGAAGGCAUACACCAUUACUGCCUUGGUAAGGAUCCAGAAAUACCCCAAAAGAGAGACUAGAGAGAGUCAUAGAAGGAAUCUCUGAGUUUUAUUUGAAAAUCUGCAAAAACUCGAGAGCAAUAUUUAAUAGAAGAACAAGAGACAUGGCGUUUGACUAGACCGUUCUAUCUUUUAACUGCUCAAGACAUAAGUGACGGUUGCAAGCCCCAUGGUGGAAGGUAAAAUGAGUAUGUUUAAAUCUUAACAGUUUACCCUAACCCAGAUAUGAGAUCUUGUUUGAACGCAUGUGUACCUUUAAGGCAUGAAACCACUGCAGAAACUCUUGAGUCCAUCUUUGCUCAGGGACGAGCAAAGGUUAAGCUUGGGGAAACUUGUUGACGGUCCUUAAUGCUCACAUUUAACCGUCAACUAAUCAUGAAAAAGGAUCCAAAUGCAACCGACACCUAGACUUAGAGUUUCAUCUGACAUAUUUCCACGAGUUUUGGUGUUUGUCUAUUUCUGCAGGGGGUUAUCAGGAAAUAUGAAGGAAAAGGCCCACACGUCGGGUUUACAUAGAGAUAUUAACAUGCCGCGCAAUUUUCUAUCAUCUAGAAGACUCCAGAAGCUACGGGAACGAACGGGAGGCCGAACGGGCCUGGGGGCAGGGCGCCCGCCCUUCCCCCUUGGGCGCCUGCCCUAGUACAAGCACCAAUCACAGAAUGGAGUACACCAUUACAAAGAUCUCAUCGAGCUGAUGGAAAUGCAUAUAUUAUUUGCUAUAUUUGGAGUUCAGAAUCAAGAGAUAUUAAUAAAAGAAGGACUCCACAUAAAAGAGCUGCGGGAUUAAUUGGGCCCAAAUCAGAUUUUGGUCCAUUAAGGCCUAUGUGCAUUUUAAUGAGAUAUGGUGGAAAGUUUAGUACCACAUCGCCUGCUGAACCAAAAAGGCACAAAAGGAGGAGGCUAUAUAAGCAAGGCCCCUGGCCCCUGGAGGAGAAAAUAUCAUUAUAGAGUUGAGAGGUGCCCUCGAAGGAUAACCUUUCCUCUAUAGAGAAUUAGGGCUAGACAUUCCAAUGUAGUAGAUUAGUUCUAGUCGGGAGUUAGGGAGAGCGGAGCUGCGCUCUAGUUCUGGAGAAGUCUUUAGAGUUUUGGUAUGUCUUUAUAUUCAUUGUAGGACUUAUGCUUUAAUAUAUUGAUCUUCUCUAUUUACUUUUAU